GGACGAACGCUGGCGGCGUGCUUAACACAUGCAAGUCGAGCGGUAAGGCCCUUUCGGGGGUACACGAGCGGCGAACGGGUGAGUAACACGUGGGUGACCUGCCCUCAGCUCUGGGAUAAGCCUGGGAAACUGGGUCUAAUACCGGAUAUGACCCCAUGACGCAUGUCGUGGGGUGGAAAGCCUUGUGCGGCUGAGGAUGGGCCCGCGGCCUAUCAGCUUGUUGGUGGGGUGAUGGCCUACCAAGGCGACGACGGGUAGCCGGCCUGAGAGGGCGACCGGCCACACUGGGACUGAGACACGGCCCAGACUCCUACGGGAGGCAGCAGUGGGGAAUCUUGCGCAAUGGGCGAAAGCCUGACGCAGCGACGCCGCGUGAGGGAUGACGGCC
RNAcentral lists this ribosomal RNA (388 nucleotides) under uncultured bacterium. RNAcentral describes it as "bacterial SSU rRNA". It matches the Rfam family "Bacterial small subunit ribosomal RNA", at positions 27 to 416 of the family's 1533-position model. The record is from RNAcentral.